This 394-nucleotide ribosomal RNA is filed under the name uncultured bacterium. Its description in RNAcentral is "bacterial SSU rRNA". It matches the Rfam family "Bacterial small subunit ribosomal RNA", at positions 29 to 428 of the family's 1533-position model. The record is from RNAcentral.
AUUGAACGCUGGCGGCAUGCCUUACACAUGCAAGUCGAACGGUAACGCGGGGCAACCUGGCGACGAGUGGCGAACGGGUGAGUAAUGCAUCGGAACGUGCCCAGUAGUGGGGGAUAGCCCGGCGAAAGCCGGAUUAAUACCGCAUACGACCUACGGGUGAAAGCGGGGGACCGUAAGGCCUCGCGCUAUUGGAGCGGCCGAUGUCAGAUUAGGUAGUUGGUGGGGUAAAGGCCUACCAAGCCUUCGAUCUGUAGCUGGUCUGAGAGGACGACCAGCCACACUGGGACUGAGACACGGCCCAGACUCCUACGGGAGGCAGCAGUGGGGAAUUUUGGACAAUGGGCACAAGCCUGAUCCAGCCAUGCCGCGUGCGGGAAGAAGGCCUCGGUUGUAA